UACGUAGGGUGCGAGCGUUAAUCGGAAUUACUGGGCGUAAAGCGUGCGCAGGCGGUUUUGCAAGUCAGAUGUGAAAGCCCCGGGCUCAACCUGGGAAUGGCGUUUGAAACUGCAAGGCUAGAGUGUGUCAGAGGGGGGUAGAAUUCCACGUGUAGCAGUGAAAUGCGUAGAGAUGUGGAGGAAUACCGAUGGCGAAGGCAGCCCCCUGGGAUAACACUGACGCUCAUGCACGAAAGCGUGGGGAGCAAACAGGAUUAGAUACCCCGGUAGUCC
This 273-nucleotide ribosomal RNA is filed under the name uncultured bacterium. Its description in RNAcentral is "partial 16S ribosomal RNA". It matches the Rfam family "Bacterial small subunit ribosomal RNA", at positions 524 to 796 of the family's 1533-position model. The record is from RNAcentral.